GAUGAACGCUGGCGGCGUGCCUAAUACAUGCAAGUCGAGCGAACAGAUGAGGAGCUUGCUCCUCUGACGUUAGCGGCGGACGGGUGAGUAACACGUGUAUAACCUACCUAUAAGACUGGGAUAACUUCGGGAAACCGGAGCUAAUACCGGAUAAUAUAUUGAACCGCAUGGUUCAAUAGUGAAAGACGGUUUUGCUGUCACUUAUAGAUGGAUCCGCGCCGCAUUAGCUAGUUGGUAAGGUAACGGCUUACCAAGGCAACGAUGCGUAGCCGACCUGAGAGGGUGAUCGGCCACACUGGAACUGAGACACGGUCCAGACUCCUACGGGAGGCAGCAGUAGGGAAUCUUACGCAAUGGGCGAAAGCCUGACGGAGCAACGCCGCGUGAGUGAUGAAGGUCUUCGGAUCGUAAAACUCUGUUAUUAGGGAAGAACAAAUGUGUAAGUAAAUAUGCACGUCUUGACGGUACCUAAUCAGAAAGCCACGGCUAACUACGUG
Molecule: ribosomal RNA, 497 nt
Filed under: uncultured bacterium
Lineage: Bacteria
Description: partial 16S ribosomal RNA
Rfam family: Bacterial small subunit ribosomal RNA
Source: RNAcentral